CCCACGCCGGAAGACCAAGGUUUCCUGUCCCAUGCUAAUCAGGGCAGGGUAAGUCGGCCCCUAAGGCGAGGCAGAAAUGCGUAGUCGAUGGGAAACGGGUUAAUAUUCCCGUACCUUGGAUAGCUGCGAUGGAGAGACGGAGAAGGCUAGGUGAGCCGGGCGACGGUUGUCCCGGUUUAAGCGAGUAGGGAGUGGACUUAGGCAAAUCCGGGUCCACAAUCUCGAGACGCGACGACGACCGCUCUUAGAGCGGGAAGUCAUUGAUGCCAUGCUUCCAGGAAAAUCUUCUAAGCUUCAGGCUAUUCGAGACCGUACCCCAAACCGACACAGGUGGUCAGGUAGAGAAUACCAAGGCGCUUGAGAGAACUCGGGUAAAGGAACUAGGCAAAAUGGUGCCGU
Molecule: ribosomal RNA, 399 nt
Filed under: Alexandrium margalefii
Lineage: Eukaryota; Dinophyceae; Gonyaulacales; Pyrocystaceae
Description: partial Bacterial large subunit ribosomal RNA
Rfam family: Bacterial large subunit ribosomal RNA
Source: RNAcentral